This is a long non-coding RNA of Myxocyprinus asiaticus (Chinese sucker), 2629 nucleotides long. RefSeq lists it as uncharacterized. NCBI's taxonomy places the organism in Eukaryota, Metazoa, Chordata, Actinopteri, Cypriniformes, Catostomidae. The record is from RefSeq and is a predicted model, not a curated record. The transcript is spliced from 4 exons.
AUGGAUCGAGUAGAUUCGAGCGUUCAGCUUUUCACUCACUCUGCAUAACUGAAUCAAAUGCUGUUGCCCUUGUAAACCUGUUCACGUUUCUGUAUUGUUUAUAGUGGAAAUAUGCAUGAUUAAUGUCUAAAAGGGCUAGUUGUCACAUGGGCUAAUUCGUUAUAAUUAUAAGAGCUGAGAUAUUCAUCUAAAAAUUUUAAUUGGUGUUCUGCAGAAGAAAGAAAGUCAUUCACAUCUGGGAUCGCAAUGGGCUUGGUGAAACUUGGAAAUGGUUAUAGACGACAUGCUGGCCAGAGGCAAUAAAAGAUAUGUGUUCACAUUUAGCCCCAGCAUUAGGCUUGAGAAGAGACGUCGCCACAUAUUGCCUCACAAAGUGUAAGAAUAAAAGGUUAAAUUGGGUGAAGAAGUGAUUUUUCUCCAUUGUACAAAUAAGGGAGGUUUUUAAGUCUUGUUGGAAGUCUUUUAAUUGCCAUACACAGCACUGCUAUGUGUAGCAGUUAAAUGAACUAUUAAUAAUAAUUGGUUGAUUUCCCUGAAAGGGAAAAAACUGUGGCUCUGUGUCAAAAUAUUGCUCAUUUUGUUUGAGCAUGCCUACCAGCCAGACACAGCAACAUUGGCUCAACUGAUGUCAUUAGUUUGGAUCUGUUUGUCUGAUCAGUGGAAGACAAAGGAGUGUUUGGGAAACCUGUUGAAAACAGUAAUUUUUGCAAUUCCGUUUGGUGCUGCUAGUGGCGCAGAAAUGACUGUGACAAGGAGGAGGGUGUGGCCGGGCCAUGAGGGUGCAAGGCCAGCACUGAGUCAAUUAAUCACCCGGGAAGGAGGAGGGAUGCGCUGUCCUGGAGUCCUCGCCGCUGUCGUCAUCCAGGGGAAGAGUCGCCGGGGGACAGAGGAGCUGCUGCCGGGAGUCGGAGGAACUGCUGCCAUCCACCAGGAAGGGGAGGAGCCGUUCCAUCCGCCAGGGGUCAGAGGACUCGCUGCCGUCCGCCCGGGGAAGAAUGGCUGUCGUCCGCCAUUCACUUUUUCAGGCCGAUUGCAUAACCUGAAGCCUAAAUUUUAGGCCUUUGUUUGAAAUCCCCAAGGUCUUGCAAUUUGUUCGCCUGACAAUCCUUGUUUCCAUUUAAAUAGCUUCACUUCUCUCAAUAUCCCUGAUUCACCUCCAUGAUAAUGAAGCAAUGAAACAAUUUAGUCAGCAUGUACCCUGUUUUCACUCCAACAGGGGUUUGCAUCAGAGCACGCCAAGAGUCAUAAAAGUAAAGAGAUAAAUAAUGCAGCCAAACUCUCAGAACCAUCUGGCAUGUACAUUUAUAUGCUACAGUAUUAACAUUGUUUGUGCUUUAUUGCUCAGAAAACACUUACCGCUGUGUCAUUAAGCCACGGGGACAUGAUUGGCCGUAUUAUGUAGUUUGAAAUAGCCCAGCAGAAACCAGAGAGUGUUGUCACAGGGAUUAUGCUUAGUCAGUAUUCAAUUUAAAGGCUUGUUAUUCGGAUAAACUAAAUGUUGGACAGAUGGAGUGCAAACGACCCACAAGAGAGCUAGUUGCAAGGCUUCACCUUGCCAGGUGUUUCUCAUUGCGGUUAUAGGGAAGUAACGUGAAUCCCUCUUCAAUGAAAGACCUCAUACAAAGAGCAGAUUAAGAGGAAGGUAUUUGAUGAUGCCAGGUUUAAGACUCCUGUUGUGUCUCAUAUGCAUAUUCAGCACUUCUCUAUAAACACAGAGGUAUUAAAUACAGAAGAACAGCCAACUGCGUACAAGAUGUAACCACUAAAAUAUCUCUGGAAUACCGCAAACCAGGAGAUACAAGGAGCUGUGUGUGCUGAGAAUUACAUUACAUGAGAAUUACAAUUUAAAACUAUCUCUGCCUGGGGUUUGGUAUUUCUAUACAUUCAAUACAGGCUGCAGGUAAUAAAACAAUACUUUAUUAAUCCCAUGGUGGAAAAUGAGGUUGUAUAGGUUCUUGAAAUAUAUAUAUAUUUUUUUUAUUAAAGAUGACCUUAAAUCUAACAGACAUAAUUCACAUCGAUCUCAAACCCUCACCGCUCAGGAACAACCAACAACAUCAACAACAACAAACAAUUGCGGUCACCAGAACCGGCAGGAUCCAGCACCAUUCCUGCCUCAUGUUGGACUCCACUGCUACGUGUCUCUGAGUGAUGAUGACUAAAUGCAGCCGGUGCCAGCCAAACAUCACUUUAGUCUAUUAUGAUGGACUUCAGAGGAUGAACUGAUACCAACUCCAACUAUAAGACAUGGGAUACUUCAUAUGCCAUUGCCUGAACCUUGGAUUUAGGAUAGACCUCACUGAAAUUACCGGCCGGUUCAAUUGUGAUGCACCUCACUGAUCUCUGCCUGCAUCACCUCAGUCUAUAAUGGAUUACAUAGUCUAUCAAUUAAUUGCCAACAAAACACUUCAUCAGCCAACUAACAAGAACAAUUGCAUCUAUGUGAACUUCUGCAAUUAAUCCAGGAUGAACUUCAAAGACAUUAGUCAUUAAUCUUAUAGUUCUUACAAAAUCUUUGUUUAAACACUGACCCUUAACACUUAAUUUAAUAAUUUUAAACUAUGACUUGCACUAUACAGUGCAUCCGGAAAGUAUUCACAGCGCUUCACAUUUUCCACAUUUUGUUAUG